This 372-nucleotide ribosomal RNA is filed under the name uncultured organism. Its description in RNAcentral is "partial 16S ribosomal RNA". It matches the Rfam family "Bacterial small subunit ribosomal RNA", at positions 527 to 896 of the family's 1533-position model. The record is from RNAcentral.
GUAGGUGGCAAGCGUUGUCCGGAAUUAUUGGGCGUAAAGCGCGCGCAGGCGGUUCUUUAAGUCUGAUGUGAAAGCCCACGGCUCAACCGUGGAGGGUCAUUGGAAACUGGAGAACUUGAGUACAGAAGAGGCAAGCGGAAUUCCACGUGUAGCGGUGAAAUGCGUAGAGAUGUGGAGGAACACCAGUGGCGAAGGCGGCUUUCUGGUCUGUAACUGACGCUGAGGCGCGAAAGCGUGGGGAGCAAACAGGAUUAGAUACCCUGGUAGUCCACGCCGUAAACGAUGAGUGCUAAGUGUUAGGGGGUUUCCGCCCCCCUUAGUGCUGCAGCUAACGCAUUAAGCACUCCGCCUGGGAGUACGGCCGCAAGGCUG